UAUGACGUGUAUCUGAAAUCAAGUGUGACGACCCCCUG
This 38-nucleotide ribosomal RNA is filed under the name Amblydromalus manihoti. RNAcentral describes it as "partial 28S ribosomal RNA". The record is from RNAcentral. Lineage: Eukaryota; Metazoa; Arthropoda; Arachnida; Mesostigmata; Phytoseiidae.